GUUUAUUUUGGAUUAAUUUUACGUAUUAGAGUAGUGAAACAGAAUGGAUUAAUUUGUUGUGUGAUUUGUAGUGUCUUACAGCUUGGCGUGUUUAAAGAUUAUUAAAAUGGUGCUAUUUGAAGAUCCUGACUUUCCCUUCCGUGACUCGGACGAUGACUUAUUUGAUGAAGUUGAUCAAAUAUUCAUGGAAAAUCCCCUGGUUCUGCCCUUGUAUUAUCAAGUGGGUUCCGGAUUCGAGACUUCUCUGUCAUCAGCUCAUGGCCGUAUGUAGUAAUACACUAAUGUUAAAUCUGUUUAUCAAUAAUAAGGUUGAAAAGAUAAACAACCAAAAGCGGUUGCUGGUGCAACAAUCAGGAUAUGACUGACCUGUAGUCCCCAUUGGGAGGAGA
Molecule: long non-coding RNA, 389 nt
Organism: Stegodyphus dumicola
Lineage: Eukaryota; Metazoa; Arthropoda; Arachnida; Araneae; Eresidae
Source: RefSeq, a predicted model, not a curated record